This 253-nucleotide ribosomal RNA is filed under the name uncultured bacterium. Its description in RNAcentral is "partial 16S ribosomal RNA". It matches the Rfam family "Bacterial small subunit ribosomal RNA", at positions 524 to 776 of the family's 1533-position model. The record is from RNAcentral.
GACAGAGGGUGCAAACGUUGCUCGGAAUUACUGGGCGUAAAGCGCGUGUAGGUGGACUGGUGUGUCAGAUGUGAAAUCCCUGGGCUCAACCCAGGAACUGCACCUGAAACUACCAGCCUUGAGUGGUGGAGAGGGAAGUGGAAUUCCUGGUGUAGAGGUGAAAUUCGUAGAUAUCAGGAGGAACCCCAGUGGCGAAGGCGGCUUCCUGGACACCAACUGACGCUGAGACGCGAAAGCGUGGGGAGCAAACAGG